GACGAACGCUGGCGGCGUGCUUAACACAUGCAAGUCGAACGGAAAGGCCCUGCUUUUGUUCGGUUCUCGCGUGGCGAACGGGUGAGUAACAAGUGAGUAACCUGCCCUUGCCUUUGUGAUAACUUCAGGAAACUGGGGCUAAUACCGGCUAGGAGCUCCUGCUGCCUGUUUGUGGUUGGCAAGUUUCGGCGGUUGGGGAUGGACUCGCGGCUUAUCAGCUUGUUGGUGGGGUAGUGGCUUACCAAGGCUUUGACGGGUAGCCGGCCUGAGAGGGUGACCGGCCACAUUGGGACUGAGAUACGGCCCAGACUCCUACGGGAGGCAGCAGUGGGGAAUAUUGCACAAUGGGCGGAAGCCUGAUGCAGCAACGCCGCGUGCGGGAUGACGGCCUUCGGGUUGUAAACCGCUUUCGCCUGUGACGAAGCGUGAGUGACGGUAAUGGGUAAAGAAGCACCGGCUAACUACGUG
RNAcentral lists this ribosomal RNA (468 nucleotides) under uncultured bacterium. Its description in RNAcentral is "partial 16S ribosomal RNA". It matches the Rfam family "Bacterial small subunit ribosomal RNA", at positions 28 to 507 of the family's 1533-position model. The record is from RNAcentral.